Molecule: long non-coding RNA, 205 nt
Organism: Rhododendron vialii
Lineage: Eukaryota; Viridiplantae; Streptophyta; Magnoliopsida; Ericales; Ericaceae
Exons: 2
Source: RefSeq, a predicted model, not a curated record
CAACAUAUCAAGAACAUCACCGUGCAAUAGUACUCACCGUACGUAUUCCGGUGAUCAGAAUCCUUGGACGCCAAGCGUGGUCAAAUACUAGUGAUACUUCUCUGGAAUCAAACUACAGCAAAUGAAAGGUCAACUACCCCAAUUCAAUCCCAAACAUGGGACUAAUAUUUCAGAAAAUUAUUGCCCAAUAGUACAAAUGAUUAGA